AUUGAACGCUGGCGGCAUGCCUUACACAUGCAAGUCGAACGGCAGCACGGGGCAACCUGGUGGCGAGUGGCGAACGGGUGAGUAAUGUAUCGGAACGUACCAUUGAGUGGGGGAUAACGUAGCGAAAGUUACGCUAAUACCGCAUAUUCUCUCCGGAGGAAAGCAGGGGACCGCAAGGCCUUGCGCUCUUUGAGCGGCCGAUAUCAGAUUAGCUAGUUGGUGAGGUAAAGGCUCACCAAGGCGACGAUCUGUAGCGGGUCUGAGAGGAUGAUCCGCCACACUGGAACUGAGACACGGUCCAGACUCCUACGGGAGGCAGCAGUGGGGAAUUUUGGACAAUGGGCGCAAGCCUGAUCCAGCCAUGCCGCGUGAGUGAAGAAGGCCUUCGGGUUGUAAAGCUCUUUCGGCCGGGAAAAAAUCGCAUGGGCUAAUACCCUGUGUGGAUGAUGGUACCGGAAUAAGAAGCACCGGCUAACUACGUGCCAGCCGCCGCUGUAA
RNAcentral lists this ribosomal RNA (498 nucleotides) under uncultured bacterium. RNAcentral describes it as "partial 16S ribosomal RNA". It matches the Rfam family "Bacterial small subunit ribosomal RNA", at positions 30 to 523 of the family's 1533-position model. The record is from RNAcentral.